AUCUUCGGAUUCAGUGGCGGACGGGUGAGUAACACGUGGGAAUCUACUGAGUAGUGGGGGACAGCCCGGCGAAAGCCGGAUUAAUACCGCAUACGCCCUACGGGGGAAAGGCGCAAGCCGCUAUUUAAUGAGCCCGCGUAAGAUUAGCUAGUUGGUAGGGUAAAGGCUUACCAAGGCAACGAUCUUUAGCUGGUCUGAGAGGAUGGCCAGCCACAUCGGGACUGAGACACGGCCCGGACUCCUACGGGAGGCAGCAGUCGGGAAUAUUGGACAAUGGGCGCAAGCCUGAUCCAGCAAUACCGCGUGUGUGAAGAAGGCCUGCGGGUUGUAAAGCACUUUCAGUUGGGAAGAUAAUGACGUUACCAACAGAAGAAGCACCGGCUAACUCCGUGCCAGCAGCCGCGGUAAUACGGAGGGUGCAAGCGUUAAUCGGUAUUACUGGGCGUAAAGCGUGCGUAGGCGGUUUUUUAAGUCAGAUGUGAAAUCCCCGGGCUCAACCUGGGAACUGCAUCUGAUACUGGGAGACUAGAGUGUGGGAGAGGAGAGUGGAAUCUCCGGUGUAGCGGUGAAAUGCAUAGAGAUCGGAAGGAACAUCAGUGGCGAAGGCGACUCUCUGGACCAACACUGACGCUGAGGCACGAAAGCGUGGGUAGCAAACAGGAUUAGAUACCCUGGUAGUCC
Molecule: ribosomal RNA, 681 nt
Filed under: uncultured bacterium
Lineage: Bacteria
Description: bacterial SSU rRNA
Rfam family: Bacterial small subunit ribosomal RNA
Source: RNAcentral